RNAcentral lists this transfer RNA (73 nucleotides) under Alistipes sp. Its description in RNAcentral is "tRNA-Gly". It matches the Rfam family "tRNA". From Rfam's summary of the family: Transfer RNA (tRNA) molecules are approximately 80 nucleotides in length. Their secondary structure includes four short double-helical elements and three loops (D, anti-codon, and T loops). Further hydrogen bonds mediate the characteristic L-shaped molecular structure. tRNAs have two regions of fundamental functional importance: the anti-codon, which is responsible for specific mRNA codon recognition, and the 3' end, to which the tRNAs corresponding amino acid is attached (by aminoacyl-tRNA synthetases). tRNAs cope with the degeneracy of the genetic code in two manners: having more than one tRNA (with a specific anti-codon) for a particular amino acid; and 'wobble' base-pairing, i.e. permitting non-standard base-pairing at the 3rd anti-codon position. Lineage: Bacteria; Pseudomonadati; Bacteroidota; Bacteroidia; Bacteroidales; Rikenellaceae. The record is from RNAcentral.
GCGAUAGUAGCUCAGUAGGUAGAGCAUCGGCUUCCCAAGCCGAGGGUCGCGGGUUCGAGUCCCGCCUAUCGCU